ACGGCUCAGUAACACGUGGACAACCUACCCUAAGGAGGGGGAUAACCCCGGGAAACUGGGGAUAAUACCCCAUAGACUAGAGAAGCUGGAAUGCUCUCAAGUCCAAAGGUCCGCCGCCUUAGGAUGGGUCUGCGGUCGAUUAGGUUGUUGUUGGGGUAACGGCCCAACAAGCCCGUGAUCGAUACGGGUUGUGAGAGCAAGAGCCCGGAGAUGGAUUCUGAGACACGAAUCCAGGCCCUACGGGGCGCAGCAGGCGCGAAAACUUUACAAUGCGGGAAACCGUGAUAAGGGAACCCCGAGUGCCCGUAAAUUCGGGCUGUCCAUCAGCGUAAAUAACUGGUGAAGAAAGGGCCGGGCAAGACCGGUGCCAGCCGCCGCGGUAAUACCGGCGGCUCGAGUGGUGGCCACUAUUAUUGGGCUUAAAGCGUCCGUAGCUUGGUUGUUAAGUCUCUUGGGAAAUCUACCGGCUCAACCGGUAGGCGUUCAGGAGAUACUGGCAAUCUAGGGACCGGGAGAGGUGAGAGGUACUCCAGGGGUAGGAGUGAAAUCCUGUAAUCCUUGGGGGACCACCUGUGGCGAAGGCGUCUCACUAGAACGGCUCCGACAGUGAGGGACGAAAGCUGGGGGAGCAAACCGGAUUAGAUACCCGGGUAGUCCCAGCUGUAAACGAUGCGCGUUAGGUGUAUCGGUGACCACGAGUCACCGAGGUGCCGAAGGGAAACCGUGAAACGUGCCGCCUGGGAAGUACGGUCGCAAGGCUGAGACUUAAAGGAAUUGGCGGGGGAGCAC
RNAcentral lists this ribosomal RNA (789 nucleotides) under uncultured Methanomicrobiales archaeon. Its description in RNAcentral is "bacterial SSU rRNA". It matches the Rfam family "Archaeal small subunit ribosomal RNA", at positions 85 to 879 of the family's 1478-position model. The record is from RNAcentral. Lineage: Archaea; Methanobacteriati; Methanobacteriota; Methanomicrobia; Methanomicrobiales.